UAACAAGGUUUCCUUAGAUGAACUUGCGGAAGGAUGAUUG
RNAcentral lists this ribosomal RNA (40 nucleotides) under Phenakospermum guyannense. RNAcentral's name for it is "partial 18S ribosomal RNA". The record is from RNAcentral. Lineage: Eukaryota; Viridiplantae; Streptophyta; Magnoliopsida; Zingiberales; Strelitziaceae.